This 468-nucleotide ribosomal RNA is filed under the name uncultured bacterium. Its description in RNAcentral is "partial 16S ribosomal RNA". It matches the Rfam family "Bacterial small subunit ribosomal RNA", at positions 28 to 507 of the family's 1533-position model. The record is from RNAcentral.
GACGAACGCUGGCGGCGUGCUUAACACAUGCAAGUCGAACGGAAAGGCCCUGCUUUUGUGGGGUGCUCGAGUGGCGAACGGGUGAGUAGCACGUGAGUAACCUGCCCUUGACUUUGGGAUAACUUCAGGAAACUGGGGCUAAUACCGGAUAGGAGCUCCUGCUGCAUGGUGGGGGUUGGAAAGUUUCGGCGGUUGGGGAUGGACUCGCGGCUUAUCAGCUUGUUGGUGGGGUAGUGGCUUACCAAGGCUUUGACGGGUAGCCGGCCUGAGAGGGUGACCGGCCACAUUGGGACUGCGAUACGGCCCAGACUCCUACGGGAGGCAGCAGUGGGGAAUAUUGCACAAUGGGCGGAAGCCUGAUGCAGCAACGCCGCGUGCGGGAUGACGGCCUUCGGGUUGUAAACCGCUUUCGCCUGUGACGAAGCGUGAGUGACGGUAAUGGGUAAAGAAGCACCGGCUAACUACGUG